This 552-nucleotide ribosomal RNA is filed under the name uncultured Acidobacteriota bacterium. RNAcentral's name for it is "bacterial SSU rRNA". It matches the Rfam family "Bacterial small subunit ribosomal RNA", at positions 355 to 897 of the family's 1533-position model. The record is from RNAcentral. Lineage: Bacteria; Pseudomonadati; Acidobacteriota.
UGGGGAAUUGUUCGCAAUGGGCGCAAGCCUGACGACGCAACGCCGCGUGGAGGAUGAAGGUCUUCGGAUUGUAAACUCCUGUUGACCGGGAAGAAUGGACGCCGACUGAACACGUCGGCGUAAUGACGGUACCGGUUGAGGAAGCCACGGCUAACUCUGUGCCAGCAGCCGCGGUAAUACAGAGGUGGCAAGCGUUGUUCGGAAUUACUGGGCGUAAAGGGCGCGUAGGCGGCCGCCUAAGUCAGACGUGAAAUCCCCAAGCUUAACUCGGGAACUGCGUCUGAUACUGGGUGGCUUGAGUUCGGGAGAGGAAUGUGGAAUUCCAGGUGUAGCGGUGAAAUGCGUAGAUAUCUGGAGGAACACCGGUGGCGAAGGCGGCAUUCUGGACCGAAACUGACGCUGAUGCGCGAAAGCCAGGGGAGCAAACGGGAUUAGAUACCCCGGUAGUCCUGGCCCUAAACGAUGAGUGCUUGGUGUGGCGGGUAUCGAUCCCUGCCGUGCCGAAGCUAACGCAUUAAGCACUCCGCCUGGGGAGUACGGUCGCAAGGCUGA